UACGGAGGGGGCAAGCGUUGUUCGGAAUUACUGGGCGUAAAGGGCGCGUAGGCGGCCAAGUCAGUCAGGCGUGAAAGCCCAGGGCUCAACCCUGGAAUUGCGCUUGAUACUGCUUGGCUCGAGACCGGAAGAGGGUAGUGGAAUUCCCAGUGUAGAGGUGAAAUUCGUAGAUAUUGGGAAGAACACCAGUGGCGAAGGCGGCUACCUGGUCCGGAUCUGACGCUGAGGCGCGAAAGCGUGGGGAGCAAACAGG
This 253-nucleotide ribosomal RNA is filed under the name uncultured bacterium. Its description in RNAcentral is "partial 16S ribosomal RNA". It matches the Rfam family "Bacterial small subunit ribosomal RNA", at positions 524 to 776 of the family's 1533-position model. The record is from RNAcentral.